UACGAAGGGGGCUAGCGUUGUUCGGAUUUACUGGGCAUAAAGCGCACGUAGGCGGAUCGUUAAGUCAGGGGUGAAAUCCUGGAGCUCAACUCCAGAACUGCCUUUGAUACUGGCGAUCUUGAGUCCGGAAGAGGUGAGUGGAACUCCUAGUGUAGAGGUGGAAUUCGUAGAUAUUAGGAAGAACACCAGUGGCGAAGGCGGCUCACUGGUCCGGUACUGACGCUGAGGUGCGAAAGCUAGGGUAGCAAACGGG
This 253-nucleotide ribosomal RNA is filed under the name uncultured bacterium. RNAcentral describes it as "partial 16S ribosomal RNA". It matches the Rfam family "Bacterial small subunit ribosomal RNA", at positions 524 to 776 of the family's 1533-position model. The record is from RNAcentral.